This 301-nucleotide ribosomal RNA is filed under the name uncultured bacterium. Its description in RNAcentral is "partial 16S ribosomal RNA". It matches the Rfam family "Bacterial small subunit ribosomal RNA", at positions 509 to 809 of the family's 1533-position model. The record is from RNAcentral.
CAGCCGCCACGGGAAUACGUAGGUGGCAAGCGUUGUCCGGAAUUAUUGGGCGUAAAGGGCUCGCAGGCGGUUUCUUAAGUCUGAUGUGAAAGCCCCCGGCUCAACCGGGGAGGGUCAUUGGAAACUGGGAAACUUGAGUGCAGAAGGGGAGAGUGGAAUUCCACGUGUAGCGGUGAAAUGCGUAGAGAUAUGGAGGAACACCAGUGGCGAAGGCGACUCUCUGGUCUGUAACUGACGCUGAGGAGCGAAAGCGUGGGGAGCGAACAGGAUUAGAUACCCCUGUAGUCCCUGUCUCUUAUAA